Molecule: ribosomal RNA, 543 nt
Filed under: Micrococcus luteus
Lineage: Bacteria; Bacillati; Actinomycetota; Actinomycetes; Micrococcales; Micrococcaceae
Description: bacterial SSU rRNA
Rfam family: Bacterial small subunit ribosomal RNA
Source: RNAcentral
UAGCUAUAUACUCCGAAUGAAACACCCUCCAUAUAUUGCUGGGUGGAUUAGUGGCGAACGGGUGAGUAACACGUGAGUAACCUGCCCUUAACUCUGGGAUAAGCCUGGGAAACUGGGUCUAAUACCGGAUAGGAGCGUCCACCGCAUGGUGGGUGUUGGAAAGAUUUAUCGGUUUUGGAUGGACUCGCGGCCUAUCAGCUUGUUGGUGAGGUAAUGGCUCACCAAGGCGACGACGGGUAGCCGGCCUGAGAGGGUGACCGGCCACACUGGGACUGAGACACGGCCCAGACUCCUACGGGAGGCAGCAGUGGGGAAUAUUGCACAAUGGGCGAAAGCCUGAUGCAGCGACGCCGCGUGAGGGAUGACGGCCUUCGGGUUGUAAACCUCUUUCAGUAGGGAAGAAGCGAAAGUGACGGUACCUGCAGAAGAAGCACCGGCUAACUACGUGCCAGCAGCCGCGGUAAUACGUAGGGUGCGAGCGUUAUCCGGAAUUAUUGGGCGUAAAGAGCUCGUAGGCGGUUUGUCGCGUCUGUCGUGAAAGUC